RNAcentral lists this ribosomal RNA (417 nucleotides) under Clostridioides difficile. RNAcentral describes it as "bacterial SSU rRNA". It matches the Rfam family "Bacterial small subunit ribosomal RNA", at positions 940 to 1356 of the family's 1533-position model. The record is from RNAcentral. Lineage: Bacteria; Bacillati; Bacillota; Clostridia; Peptostreptococcales; Peptostreptococcaceae.
UGUGGUUAAAUGCGCAGAGACUCUAAAGAACUUACCCUAGAUUGAACACCUAGUGAGCAUGCCUUAAACGGAGAGUACCCUUCGGGGACAUUUGGGACAGGUGGUGCAUUGUCAUCGUCAGCUCGUGUCGUGAGAUGUAGGGUGAAGUCCCGCAACGAGCGCAACCCUUGUCUUUAGUUGCCAUCAUUAAGUUGGGCACUCUAGAUAGACUGCCAGGGAUAACCUGGAGGAAGGUGGGGAUGACGUCAAAUCAUCAUGCCCCUUAUGCUUAGGGCUACACACGUGCUACAAUGGGUAGUACAGAGGGUUGCCAAGACGUAAGGUCGAGCUAAUCCCUUAAAGCUUCUGUCAGUUCGAACUUUAGGCUGAAACUCGCCUACAUGAAGCUGGAGUUACUAGUAAUCGCAGAUCAAAAUG